This 378-nucleotide ribosomal RNA is filed under the name uncultured bacterium. RNAcentral describes it as "bacterial SSU rRNA". It matches the Rfam family "Bacterial small subunit ribosomal RNA", at positions 521 to 896 of the family's 1533-position model. The record is from RNAcentral.
UAAUACGGGGGGAGCAAGCGUUGUUCGGAUUUACUGGGCGUAAAGGGCGCGUAGGCGGUCAGCACAAGUCAGUUGUGAAAUCUCCGGGCUUAACUCGGAAAGGUCAACUGAUACUGUGCGACUAGAGUGCGGAAGGGGCAACUGGAAUUCUCGGUGUAGCGGUGAAAUGCGUAGAUAUCGAGAGGAACACCUGCGGCGAAGGCGGGUUGCUGGGCCGACACUGACGCUGAUGCGCGAAAGCCAGGGGAGCGAACGGGAUUAGAUACCCCGGUAGUCCUGGCCUUAAACGAUGGAUGCUUGGUGUAGCGGGUAUCGAUCCCUGCUGUGCCGAAGCUAACGCAUUAAGCAUUCCGCCUGGGGAGUACGGUCGCAAGGCUG